Molecule: ribosomal RNA, 253 nt
Filed under: uncultured bacterium
Lineage: Bacteria
Description: partial 16S ribosomal RNA
Rfam family: Bacterial small subunit ribosomal RNA
Source: RNAcentral
UACGGAGGGUGCAAGCGUUAUCCGGAUUCACUGGGUUUAAAGGGUGCGUAGGCGGGCAGGUAAGUCAGUGGUGAAAUCUCCGGGCUUAACUCGGAAAUUGCCAUUGAUACUGAUGAUCUUGAGUACAUUUGAGGUGGGCGGAAUGUGUCAUGUAGCGGUGAAAUGCUUAGAGAUGACACAGAACACCGAUUGCGAAGGCAGCUCACUAAACUGUAACUGACGCUGAGGCACGAAAGCGUGGGGAGCAAACAGG